Non-coding RNA from Ciona savignyi (Pacific transparent sea squirt), 117 nucleotides. The record is from Rfam. NCBI's taxonomy places the organism in Eukaryota, Metazoa, Chordata, Ascidiacea, Phlebobranchia, Cionidae.
CGCAUAUUUUGCGGUGGCGGAGCUCGACCGCCCGUUCAAGAAAUGAUUUCGUUCAUAGACGAACAUCGUGGAGACCACGGGGUCGAGCCGAUCUGCAAGGUGUUGCAGAUUGCCCCU